Molecule: ribosomal RNA, 497 nt
Filed under: uncultured bacterium
Lineage: Bacteria
Description: partial 16S ribosomal RNA
Rfam family: Bacterial small subunit ribosomal RNA
Source: RNAcentral
GAUGAACGCUGGCGGCGUGCCUAAUACAUGCAAGUCGAGCGAACAGACGAGGAGCUUGCUCCUCUGACGUUAGCGGCGGACGGGUGAGUAACACGUGGAUAACCUACCUAUAAGACUGGGAUAACUUCGGGAAACCGGAGCUAAUCCCGGAUAAUAUAUUGAACCGCAUGGUUCAAUAGUGGAAGUCGGUUUUGCUGUCACUUAUAGAUGGAUCCGCGCCGCAUUAGCUAGUUGGUAAGGUAACGGCUUACCAAGGCAACGAUGCGUAGCCGACCUGAGAGGGUGAUAGGCCACACGGGAACUGAGACACGGUCCAGACUCCUACGGGAGGCAGCAGUAGGGAAUCGUCCGCAAUGGGCGAAAGCUUGACGGAGCAACGCCGCGUGAGUGAUGAAGGUCUUCGGAUCGUAAAACUCUGUUAUUAGGGAAGAACAAAUGUGUAAGCAACUAUGCACGUCUUGACGGUACCUAAUCAGAAAGCCACGGCUAACUACGUG